GGAUGCGAGGGCAAUCUGGCUGUGACAUCUAUCACUCCACUGAUCCUCAGGGUUGCUGGGCUGAUGUACUGGCUAGGAGGGUGUCCCCUUCCUCCCCCGCUGCUCCAUGUGCGACCCUCCCGAAGUCGGACUGUCUCAGUGUAAGAGGACGAUUACUCCGAUAGAAAGGGACCACUUCCUCAAUCAAGGGUAUAUAUGUAGCUGUGCUCUCCUGCCAGAACCUCAAAGAGUUCUCAAGAGCUUUGGUCUGCUCCCCCGACCCCCACUAAUCACACCCAUAUUGACAUGCACCCCAAGGACCAGGUGUACCUGCCAUUAU
Cavia aperea (Brazilian guinea pig) is the source of this 319-nucleotide unclassified non-coding RNA. Its record names the gene 7SK. It matches the Rfam family "7SK RNA". Rfam says of the family: 7SK was discovered as an abundant small nuclear RNA in the mid-70s but a possible function has only recently been suggested. Lineage: Eukaryota; Metazoa; Chordata; Mammalia; Rodentia; Caviidae. The record is from Ensembl.